UACAACCCGACUCAGAAGCAGCACCAUGCAUCACAAGAUUACAACAGGCCGAAGAGUUGUAAACAUUCAGCAAAACACAAAAUCUAUGGUGCUGAUUUAAAACUGCAGGUUAAGUAUGGAAAUCAGAUCUCUUUUGGGGAAAGAAUUCUACCAAAGGCAAAUUUGAAGAGUACAAACUGUCUAUAUAAAUGUGCAAAUGGAAGGUCUGAGGUGACAAUACCUCUACUGGUUGGAAGCAGAAGCCAAUUUAUGAAAAUAUUGGUUAGUGAGGUACUAUGGUCAGGAAGAUCUUUAAAGUCAGUAUACAGGGAUUGAACAUAAUUCUUUGGUUAAUGUGUAACAUUAAAUAAAUAACCAAGGGUAGUGAAAGAGUUCAAAGGGUAGUGAAAAACUAAGCAAUCAUAUUGGGUUUGGAUAACCUGUGAUGUGGAUCUUGGACCAGUGUCCAUUCUUGGCCGUUCCUUUAAUCUCCAGUUUCAUGUGUCAUCUAGAUACAGAACUCCUCAGCUGCACCUUUCUUUGGAAUGGUCACAGCUUGAUAACCCUAUUUGUAUCCCAAAGAAAAUCUUUUCCAUCAGCAAUGUCUAAUGUGUCUAUAUUUUUUAUUACUCACUUAGCAUAUAAAGGAAUAUUCCUUGCUGCAGAGCAUAAGAGAGACAUCCCCUAAGUGUUACCAUACUUGGUGGAGAUUUUCUAUUCUUAUAUUACUUUUUAUUUGAAAACGCUUCAUUACUUUCUUAAGUAUAGGACUCUCUCUGCAGCUAGUGCUCUCAGCAGCUGCUAGGUUUACUAGUGCAAUGUAAUGGAUGCUAAAUUUACCAUGAGCAAGAUAUUUCCAGUUUGAACCACCUUUGAUUAACUGGCACAACAGUAAUUUAAAAUGUUCAUGGCUGCCUUCCCUCUCAGUGUUUCACCAGCAUUCGUGGGCAUGGAAUUUUAUGUUCUGCAAAGCCCUUGGCGAUGAAAAGAGAAAAUACAGUGCAAUUAAAUACACCCCUGAAAGGACAAGAGACCUCACGAUUCACAGACUGCUCGGAAAUUGGGUGAAUUCAGGUGCUCAUCAGUUUGGGGCCAAUUGGAAGCUGACAAUGCCCUUGUCAAUCAAGCCCCCAAGAGACAUGGAUGAGAUAUAUCUUUUGGUACUUAAGAGGCAGCAUCCCUCAAUCAUAGUGCCAUUGCAUAAGAUGCCAUUAGAGGUCUUUUAUUUUAAGAUGACAUCUAAAGUCUAAAAUGGUAAGAAAAACAUAAAGCUUCAAAGAAAGAAAGAAACUUGGUAGCCAUUGUGACUUAUCGCCGUGAGAGAGCAGAUGUAUUACUGAAGAAAAGAAGAGACUAAAUGCCCAGCAAUCAAAUGCAUGCCUCUUUUCCAACAAUAUUUUCUUUUUGCUAUAGUAUCUACAGUGAAAUAUAUUCCUUUAUAAAAACAAAAACAAGCGCUUGGCACAGGCCUGUCCAAUCACACAUUUUGCACAAGGCCAGGCCAAGAUGGAAAAAUAUUAAGUGUAUUUUUCCUGAAGUUUUCCAUAUUUUUUGCAGUGUGAAAACAAAUGUGAGAUGCUCAGAUUUUUUUGGAUACAUUUCAGCAGCAUGCCACAAGAAUGCCAUCUAGCCAAAGAAACUCUAAAGUGCCGUCUUUCUGUAUUGUAAACCACAAUACAUUCAUAUUUCUGACAUAAGAAAGAACACUACAUAAGCAACUUCAGCUCUUAGGAAAACUCUUAGGAGCCUCCACAGAAAGGCUGCACGAACACCCCAUGGCCUGUGGAGGAAGAUUUGUUCUCCUUAUCUCCCUGUAUAUCUAGGCUCUGAUCUUGCAAACACCUUUACAGGGAACUACUCAUGGGCCUGACCUACAGCCCAUUGAAGUCAAUGAAAAGCAUUUCAUUGACUUCAGUGAGCUUUGGAUCAGGACCCAUGGGUGAAAUUCUGGCCUCAAUGAAGCUCCUAUUGACAUCAGUAGGGCCAGGAUUUCACCCCAUGUGCAUUAAGUUAUUUACUUUUGUAUUUGAAGAAUCAGAGCCCUACACAAAGCACCCAACCUAUGUGGAUAAGCUCAGCAUGUGGUCAGGAGUUUGGCCUUAGAGUUAAACUGAAAACACGUCUUUCAAAGACCUUUCCCUUCUUUUUCGUUACAUAAGUGAGGCUAAAAAGAAGCAAAACUUCUUUGUCAAACUUGAGGAAUAGUGUCAAGCUGAGAGUCGUAACCAUGCGGUGUAGAAAAAAUAUGACUGAUGCCUUCCCUGGCUAUACCAAAUCCUUCUGAGGAGUGAAGACAUGGUUGAUUCUCAGGAGGACUUCUUGAGAUCAGGGUCCAGAGUGCGAAUAAAAGCCAGUUUAAAAAAAAUCA
Chrysemys picta bellii (western painted turtle) is the source of this 2347-nucleotide long non-coding RNA. The record is from Ensembl. NCBI's taxonomy places the organism in Eukaryota, Metazoa, Chordata, Testudines, Emydidae.